Molecule: long non-coding RNA, 1312 nt
Organism: Pectinophora gossypiella (pink bollworm)
Lineage: Eukaryota; Metazoa; Arthropoda; Insecta; Lepidoptera; Gelechiidae
Exons: 3
Source: RefSeq, a predicted model, not a curated record
GGGAACGGGAUAGUUGCUUUCUUCAUUGAAUAAUCUAAAUAAUUAAUACGAAGUGGUGUUUUGUGGUUAAUGAUCGCAUUAAGUUAGUCGGAAGACAUUCGCGAGUGUUAUUAUAUUGGAGUAUUCAAUAAACAAAGUGUAUCUGCCUAUUUUCGCUUCGUGUCAGGAAGCCGCUUCAUAACUCAAAAGUUUAUGCGGACUUUUGAGUUAAUUCGUUUGGGGUUCGGAGUAGGAGUCUACUCCGAGGGUGGGGGCUUAGGUUUCAUCAUCAUCACCUUUCAUCAUUUCAUUAAUCAUCAAGAAAAAAAAUACGUCAGACAUGGCUGUAUGGGCAUAGUUCCCUUUGCCUUACCCUUCGGGGAAAACCAAACCAAAAAAAAAAAAUGGAAAGUGGGGACGUCGCGAGAGCGCCGGAGACUCCACUGCCGUAACAAUAAUGUGGGCAAAUUAAAAGCCACGAUUUAUCGGCGACAUCAAGAGCCGAUGUCUCAAUUUAAAUAAACAACUUAACCGAGAUGCAACAUCACUGAAAUCCCAUCGCCGAAGGUCCAGUGGGUGGGUUUAGGUUUCAUCCGAGCGAUGCCCAACUAUCCCGGAUGAACCUAUGGGGUUUUUGUUCCCUUUAAGUUUUUAACAUUUUAACGUUUUGCAAGUUUUUAACGUCUAACGUUUUGCUAGUUUAAAGUAAGAAGAAAUUUAUGAUUGGAUCAGAUGAUUUCAACAAUGUUUUGUGAAUGAAGAUUCCUACUGUUUUCUUCUGCGUUUGCAAGUUAUUUCAAGCUUCAUUACGGCGGAGCUAGCACAUGGUAUGUUGCAGAGAGAUACUUUACCUAACGGCCCACUUGUUCUUUAUUGAAUUAUCUUUCAUUGGAAUUAUUUUUAAAAGACGUUUCAGUGGCGCCCUUCUUGGUGAAAUUGUCGCUUUGUACAACCAUUUUAGUAUAUAAGUGGUGUUGGCAUAAAUUUUAAAAUAAAAUUUAGUGAAAACAGUGUAUUUCUUUUUAAUUAUAAAAGUGAUGGGAUUUUGUGUGAAUUGUUUGUGUUAAUGUUUGCAUCUUAGGUUAAGUUGUGUUUGUCUUAGUAUAAGUAAGGUUAUAGGCCUCCUACAGAGACCUAACUUAAAUACUUAUUUUAUUGCAAUAAGUUUAACCCAAUUCUAGGGCUUAUUGUCAAAUUUUAAAACUACAUUUGUGUUUUCUUUUCAUUUUAUUUAACCAUUUAGUAUGAAUUACAGGUUAAAAACAAUUAUUAACAUAAUUUGAUGCUAGCUAGCAAAUAAUUUUUUAUCAGUAUUGAGUUUUUUUUUGUUACA